Molecule: ribosomal RNA, 106 nt
Filed under: uncultured bacterium
Lineage: Bacteria
Description: partial 16S ribosomal RNA
Rfam family: Bacterial small subunit ribosomal RNA
Source: RNAcentral
CGUUGUACACACCGCCCGUCACACCAUGGGAGCGGGUUCUGCCAGAAGUAGUUAGCCUAACCGCAAGGAGGGGCGAUUACCACGGCAGGGUUCGUGACUGGGGGUG